RNAcentral lists this ribosomal RNA (33 nucleotides) under Aspergillus nidulans. RNAcentral's name for it is "partial 18S ribosomal RNA". The record is from RNAcentral. Lineage: Eukaryota; Fungi; Ascomycota; Eurotiomycetes; Eurotiales; Aspergillaceae.
CCUUUUACGCGGGUAAAUGUGGAAGGAUCAUUA